GGUGGUGUGUGUAAUGGUAGCACGUCAGAUUGUGGCCGAACUGCAAUCAACUAUAAUAGAUCUCUGUCAACCUAGGUUAGAUUCCCAGCACCGCCA
This 96-nucleotide transfer RNA is filed under the name Phialocephala subalpina. It matches the Rfam family "tRNA". Rfam says of the family: Transfer RNA (tRNA) molecules are approximately 80 nucleotides in length. The record is from Rfam by way of RNAcentral. Lineage: Eukaryota; Fungi; Ascomycota; Leotiomycetes; Helotiales; Mollisiaceae.